Molecule: transfer RNA, 62 nt
Filed under: Haemaphysalis mageshimaensis
Lineage: Eukaryota; Metazoa; Arthropoda; Arachnida; Ixodida; Ixodidae
Description: tRNA-Trp
Source: RNAcentral
AAGAUUUUAAGUUAAAAAAAACUAUUUACCUUCAAAGUAAAAAUUAUUAUCAAUAAAUCUUA